Molecule: ribosomal RNA, 404 nt
Filed under: uncultured bacterium
Lineage: Bacteria
Description: bacterial SSU rRNA
Rfam family: Bacterial small subunit ribosomal RNA
Source: RNAcentral
GACGAACGCUGGCGGCGUGCCUAACACAUGCAAGUCGUACGGGACCGGGGGCGAACUCCGGUUCAGUGGCAGACGGGUGCGUAACACGUGAGGAACUUGUCCGGUGGCGGGGGAUAGCCGGCCCAACGGCCGGGUAAUACCGCAUACGCUCGUUCGGGGGCAUCCCUGGGCGAGGAAAGCAGCCGCAAGGUUGCGCCGACGGAGGGCCUCGCGACCUAUCAGCUUGUUGGCGGGGUAACGGCCCACCAAGGCGACGACGGGUAGCUGGUCUGAGAGGAUGAUCAGCCACAUUGGGACUGAGACACGGCCCAGACUCCUACGGGAGGCAGCAGUGGGGAAUAUUGCGCAAUGGCCGCAAGGCUGACGCAGCGACGCCGCGUGUGGGAUGACGGUCUUCGGAUUGU